Non-coding RNA from Vicia faba (fava bean), 291 nucleotides. NCBI's taxonomy places the organism in Eukaryota, Viridiplantae, Streptophyta, Magnoliopsida, Fabales, Fabaceae. The record is from the annotation of a GenBank genome assembly.
CUAUACUGGGGAACAUAUUCCAGCUGAGAGAAUCAAAUGUUGCAUUAUCAGAGCAGGUGAGGCAACUGACUUUGGCUCAGACCACCCAAAGUCAAAGCAGAAACCAUCGUCAGAGACGUGACUACCAUGACCCAGAUCAGGGAGGAGAUGGUCAUGGAGGCCAGCAGUGAGACACACCAGCCAUUUAAGAGUCAUAUGCGAAGAAAUGAAGCAAAAUAGAUGAAAAAUUGAAGAAAUGGAGUAGUUUACACUCAAGGCGACCACCAUGGAAUUCACCAAAGAGGUGGCCAU